This is a long non-coding RNA of Dermacentor andersoni, 3225 nucleotides long. RefSeq lists it as uncharacterized. NCBI's taxonomy places the organism in Eukaryota, Metazoa, Arthropoda, Arachnida, Ixodida, Ixodidae. The record is from RefSeq and is a predicted model, not a curated record.
GCACUCAAGACCUGCUGGACUUCUUUCUGCAAGUUCGGUUCCGGGACUCUCUCUUGCUCCGGGAUUCUCGCAAGGCCCGUUGGAGCUCCCGAAAUACGUAUGCGACGCACGGCGGCCGGUCCAUCCGUUCUGCCGCACGAGCUGUCACGCCUUAGCCGUUGCUGCCGAUAAGUUUCAAGUCGCGUCUUCAGCGGUCUUCUUUUGUGCGCGUGUUCCCGCGGACGAACUGGAAGGGACAACGAAGCAGCUGUCGUCGUCACGUUCUUCAACUAACGUCCGAGGUGCAGCUCGUGCUACCAAGUGACCGUGACGCUACCUUGAGGGACAACGGAGCAACCGUCGUCGCUGCGUGGCUUCGGCAUCUAACCCACGAGGUGGGACGGUGUGUGUGCGUGCGUAUAGUGUGCGAGGGCUGUGCGGCUAUUAACUUUAUCAAAAACUGAUUGACAAUAUUGGCGAAAAUAGGUGCAGUUAACUGUGGUGCUUCAUUCGGCACGAGCUUCCUAGGACGGCCGCAGCCACAUCGGGUCGUCGCCGUGACGGAAGCGGAGAGGACGGGGUGGGGCGAUUGUAGCUUCAGGCUCAGCUAACACUAGGAAGGUAGCUGGCGCUGCGCGUAGGCAACAGCUGGCAGGGGUCCUCUCUCUCGUUUGCGACACGGAUGUCGGCCCGUUCCGAGUGCUAUUGCUUCCCGGCCACCAUUUCGCAACCACGCGCGCGAAAGGGCUCGAAAUGUUGAACCGCGGAAGUAAUUGGCAUACGGAAAUGGAGUGUGUGGGUUAACCAGUGGCGUAUUCCAGAGCGUCACUGAAGCAUGGACGUUGCCUUCGGUCCGCAGCGCGGCGCGUUGCGGCCAAAGUAUGUGGAUAAUUUUUGUUCUCUAUUCUUUGUGCUACGCUGUGUUUUUGUCGCUCGACGCGCGGACCAUGUUUGACGAGUUCAUCGAUCACCGCUCGCGCGACGACGCCUGUCAUGGUGAGUACCUACUUUCUGUUUCUAUUCAUUAUUCGAGAAGUUCCCCCUUUUUAGUUUCAGGUACGUCACCUAGGCCUUAGCGUAUGGCGCACUCCAGCAACGUCCAGAGCGCACGUCCGUGUGCCAGACGGACGACGUUCAGCGCUUGUCGUCCAUCGGCUGACUGUCUGUGCAAUUCUGCUCCAGCCUCGCAGCUACUGGUUUCCUGGCGAGUGACGUUGUCUGCACUUGCUGCCCUGAAGUACGUCGACUGACCCCUUGGCCAUCAGUCACGUGCGGUGGAGUUCCCUGCGCCCUGCCGUCUCCCGGAUGGGUGACGUUCAGUGCCUCUUCUACCGCGGCUGACCGUCCGUGCACUUUUCCUCCAGCCUCGCAGCUACUGGUUUCCUGGCGAGUGACGUUGUCUGCACUUGCUACCCUGCAGUACGUCGACUGACCCCUUGGCCAUCAGUCGCGUGCGGCGGAGUUCCCUGCACCCUGCCGUCUCCCGGAUGGGUGACGUUCAGUGCCUCUUCUACCGCGGCUGACCGUCCGUGCACUUUUCCUCCAGCCUCGCAGCUACUGGUUUCCUGGCGAGUGACGUUGUCUGCACUUGCUGCCCUGUAGUACGUCGACUGACCCCUUGGCCAUCAGUCACGUGCGGCGGAGUUCCCUGCGCCCUGCCGUCUCCCGGAUGGGUGACGUUCAGUGCCUCUUCUACUGCGGCUGACCGUCCGUGCACGCCUGCUCGAGCCUUACAGCUACUGGUUUCCUGGCGAAUGCAGGUGCCUGUACUACCUGCCCUGCAGUAAGUCGAAUGCCCCCGGCAACCCUUGCCCUGACAUCCACCGCCCGUCAAGAUCUGCCCCGCCGGCGUAUAAAGGCCUAGUCCUGACCGUAAGGAGACGGGCCUUGCUCUCGUGACAGUUCAUGACAUUGCUACGCCCGAUGACGUUGAGCUGCGGGAAAAGUCUUUCUGCGUGCUGCCUAGACGAUGCUGCAAGGCUACGGAGACGUGACGGCGACCGACGACGACAGCCCCGUAACAGUUCCUUCCGUUCGGUAGCUGUGUCAUAGCAGUUCGAUGUACACUCGUAUUGAGUCCAUAGCUGUUUCACGAGUGCACCAAAACAAUUUCAAGUAACUAUGCUGGCUCAUAUUCAGUACACUACUCAGGGUCUAGCGUUAGGUUAAUCUGGGGUUCCAUGCACGUUAAUUCACAUUCUGUGCUCUCGUUGUGGUACGCUGAUGCUGGUUCGCAUUGCGAAGUUGCGCGCGCGUAUGUGUUUGUGUGAGCAUGCGUAUGUGUGCGUUGCUGCAUGUAUGCUGUCUAUUUGUUAUACGCGCGUGCGACUUCGCUCAUUCCAUCUGGUUGGUGGCAUGAUUUCCCCUGGGGUCCGUUUUCUCUUCCAUGGAAUUUUUGCUGGCUGGCCGCGUUUAUCAGGUGAUUUCCUUCGGAAAGCUCGUUGGCGGUUCUGCAGUGAUGGUCGCACAUCUUUUCAGCAAAACUUUAGGACUGGGCAUUCCCCUUACUUAAAGGGUGUCCGGCCGUCCACUCGCAUAUUUGUCUGCACCUUCCAUUAUCAAAUUGUUUUGUACUCGACGGAGUCUCUGUUGGUAUCUUUUGCUUGUCCACAUUCUCCUUGUUUGUCCAGUGAUCCAUCAUGGCUAAUGCGAAACAUCGGCGUACCAUUACAAAAGGCAUAUUGUGUGAAUUAAAGGCAAUAGAACAUCCUCGUUAACUUGUGAAGAUCAUGAUUAUGAGCUUAUCCAUUGCAAACUAGUGCUGGCAUGGCACCAAGCUUAUCCUUCGACCUGUAUAGCCGUUAUUCAUUGUAGCGGUACACCUGCGCACUUCUACACGGCGAAAUACAGCAGCUCCUGAACCUGCCUUCAGCAAGAUAGCACAUUGAUCUGACACCACCACCAACGCCACACAUGCCUGCCGUGUUAGGUCUUGAUCACACUUUUUCAUCACGAUUCCUUUUGUCCUCGAGUGUUCGCUGCCUUGUAUAGAUUUACCUCCUUGCAUCCACUUAAUGUACUUCUCUAUAACAUGUACUCGCUGUACCAUGCUCCCUCUACUUAAUAAAAUGGCAGAGGUAUUCUUUUUCCUACCACUUUUUCCCUUGUUGGGGAACAUUGUUUAUAACUGUAUAAUCUGACUUUUUUUUUUUUUAAAUCCAUAUUCUUGUCAACAUUUCUACGUUCACUAGUGUUAUGUGCGAAUAGAAAUAAAAUUUUGGACUUUGUUCCAGAGUAGAUAACGCA